UACGUAGGGUGCGAGCGUUAAUCGGAAUUACUGGGCGUAAAGCGUGCGCAGGCGGUGAUGUAAGACAGGUGUGAAAUCCCCGGGCCUAACCUGGGAACUGCAUUUGUGACUGCAUCGCUGGAGUGCGGCAGAGGGGGAUGGAAUUCCGCGUGUAGCAGUGAAAUGCGUAGAUAUGCGGAGGAACACCGAUGGCGAAGGCAAUCCCCUGGGCCUGCACUGACGCUCAUGCACGAAAGCGUGGGGAGCAAACAGG
Molecule: ribosomal RNA, 253 nt
Filed under: uncultured bacterium
Lineage: Bacteria
Description: partial 16S ribosomal RNA
Rfam family: Bacterial small subunit ribosomal RNA
Source: RNAcentral